Molecule: long non-coding RNA, 1033 nt
Filed under: Homo sapiens (human)
Lineage: Eukaryota; Metazoa; Chordata; Mammalia; Primates; Hominidae
Description: HSALNT0397836
Source: RNAcentral
AGUCGGCAGCUCACUAUCCUCCACUAGUCCCAGGUUUGACCGUUUCUCAAACCGUGCCUUCCCAUUUAUGCUGCAUCCGCGCCCUGAAUCUGAAAUUGGUCGUCCUGCCACGCCGCCUCACCGCGGUAUAAGGUCGUCCCAUCCUGAAUGGCCGGUGCGCAGACUCAAUUGCGACUUUGAGGCUGUCAGCCGCCACCCGGCAACCUUCCAGUGAACAGGAUUCUGGGUUUCUCAAAGCUGUAAUUGGAGGGCCACUCCAGAGGUGUUAAAGCUCCAGCACUUCGAGCCUGCCUCGUGGGAAAGUCUUAGGCUGAGUCUGUAGGUGUCUGCAGUUAAGAAGCCAGCGGUCUGCAUAUGAUUGCUCAGGGGUGGUGGCUGGGUCCAACAGCAUUCACUACAGGCCUGCCUUGAAUACCACCUAGCGCAGUGCUCCGCAUAUCACAGGUAUGGGAAGCUUUGGAUUCAUAAGCUCAGUAAAUUAAGGAAUUUCACAUUAUGAACUCAAUUUGAGAUGGGUUGGACUGGUGAUACCUGGAAGGGGUAAAUGAGAACCCACUCUGGAGGCACUUUACGCCUGAGGGAGCAUCCACAAAUAAUUUUUCAGGGGCUGGAAACCUAACAAUUUCACUUCCUAGACAACUUGCUAAAAGUCACCUAAAGACAGUCUGGUUACUGCCAAAGAUAUGCUUUCAAAUAAGAUUUGGAUAAAGAAGGGAGGUAGAUGCCUUUUUUCAGCAGUGGAGUGAUGUCUAGACCAGUAGAUGUACGCAUCUAAGUGAAUUCAUCACCAGCAACAAUUUCCAGAAACUUCCUGACCUCCAGAUUGCAGCUUCAUUAGUGUGAGUUUAAAGCCAACUAGAUGCCAUUCUCAGAUUCCACGCAUAUGGCCAAGGGUCCAGGAAAUAAGAAGAAACAGGUUGAGGGGUUGGUGUUAUGGGGCAUUUACUUGAAUUUUCUAUGCUAUAAUUGUCUCAUCUUUAAAACGGUGAUAAUAAUAAAAUUGUCAGUUAUUAAAUAAAUUAACACAGUGAAA